Molecule: ribosomal RNA, 497 nt
Filed under: uncultured bacterium
Lineage: Bacteria
Description: partial 16S ribosomal RNA
Rfam family: Bacterial small subunit ribosomal RNA
Source: RNAcentral
GAUGAACGCUGGCGGCGUGCCUAAUACAUGCAAGUCGAGCGAACAGAUAAGGAGCUUGCUCCUUUGAAGUUAGCGGCGGACGGGUGAGUAACACGUGGGUAACCUACCUAUAAGACUGGGAUAACUUCGGGAAACCGGAGCUAAUACCGGAUAACAUUUAGAACCGCAUGGUUCUAAAGUGAAAGAUGGUUUUGCUAUCACUUAUAGAUGGACCCGCGCCGUAUUAGCUAGUUGGUAAGGUAACGGCUUACCAAGGCGACGAUACGUAGCCGACCUGAGAGGGUGAUCGGCCACACUGGAACUGAGACACGGUCCAGACUCCUACGGGAGGCAGCAGUAGGGAAUCUUCCGCAAUGGGCGAAAGCCUGACGGAGCAACGCCGCGUGAGUGAUGAAGGGUUUCGGCUCGUAAAACUCUGCUAUUAGGGAAGAACAAAUGUGUAAGUAACUGUGCACAUCUUGACGGUACCUAAUCAGAAAGCCACGGCUAACUACGUG